RNAcentral lists this unclassified non-coding RNA (745 nucleotides) under Hevea brasiliensis (rubber tree). The record is from RNAcentral. Lineage: Eukaryota; Viridiplantae; Streptophyta; Magnoliopsida; Malpighiales; Euphorbiaceae.
CCUCCACUCUUUCAUUGGCUUCCCAUCAAUUUUAACAAAUAUGUUUGUCCAGUUAGUGUGAUGGAACUCUACUCUGUCCAACCCAUUCACCAGUCCGCUCCCUAUAGCCUUGACAUAUGCCUCUUUGAGACACCAAUAUCUGUAAAACUCAACCAAAAUUUCAUCAGAGGUGCCAGAAUUAAUUAUAUUAUCCCAUUCCAACCUAGAAAAAUAAGAAGUAAAAUUGUGAAUGAAUUCUGGAACUGUCUCUUUCCGGGGUUUGACACAGCAAACAAUGUCCAACCCAACAAUGCAAACAGGUUCAGAUGCUAUUGCCACAAAGUCGCCAUGAUGAGAAACAUUGAAAUUAAAAUUGGGAAAUUUUGAGUAGCCUUUAGCACAUUCCAAAUAGGGUUUCCCUUCCAAUGUGCGCUUUAUAACAAUUUCAUCAUAUGGAAUUCCCAAUACUUGAUGUACAAGAGCAUACUGAAGCAACCGGCUCACAAGUGCCCGUUUUCUGUCCUCCAUCUUCACAAAUCUGAUGACGGAGGAGUGUUCGUGUUGAGGAAGAAGGGAGAGGGCAAAAGAGAAGUCAUGGGGAGAUGGCUCCCACUUUGAUAUGUCCACUAUCCAUCUUUGUACUCCUCUCUCCAUUACUAUUUGUAAUCUUCAUAAGAGUUUGGAUUAGUUCACUCGCAUAUUCAUAGCUUGCCUCCUGCUGCAACACAGUAACAGAUUAAUGACAGAACGAAAGGACGGCAAAUUC